This 450-nucleotide ribosomal RNA is filed under the name uncultured bacterium. RNAcentral's name for it is "bacterial SSU rRNA". It matches the Rfam family "Bacterial small subunit ribosomal RNA", at positions 354 to 796 of the family's 1533-position model. The record is from RNAcentral.
GUGGGGAAUUUUGGACAAUGGGCGAAAGCCUGAUCCAGCCAUGCCGCGUGCAGGAUGAAGGCCUUCGGGUUGUAAACUGCUUUUGUACGGAACGAAAAGACUCCUUCUAAUAAAGGGGGUCCAUGACGGUACCGUAAGAAUAAGCACCGGCUAACUACGUGCCAGCAGCCGCGGUAAUACGUAGGGUGCAAGCGUUAAUCGGAAUUACUGGGCGUAAAGCGUGCGCAGGCGGUUAUAUAAGACAGAUGUGAAAUCCCCGGGCUCAACCUGGGAACUGCAUUUGUGACUGUAUAGCUAGAGUACGGUAGAGGGGGAUGGAAUUCCGCGUGUAGCAGUGAAAUGCGUAGAUAUGCGGAGGAACACCGAUGGCGAAGGCAAUCCCCUGGACCUGUACUGACGCUCAUGCACGAAAGCGUGGGGAGCAAACAGGAUUAGAAACCCCAGUAGUCC